UACGUAGGGUGCUAGCGUUGUUCGGAAUCAUUGGGCGUAAAGCGCGUGUAGGCGGUUAAUUAAGUCGGGUGUGAAAUCCCUGGGCUCAACCGAGGAAGGGCAUUCGAAACUAAUUGGCUAGAAGAUGGUAGAGGAAGGUGGAAUUCCAAGUGUAGAGGUGAAAUUCGUAGAUAUUUGGAGGAAUACCGGUGGCGAAGGCGGCCUUCUGGACCGUUCUUGACGCUGAGACGCGAAAGCGUGGGUAGCAAACAGG
This 253-nucleotide ribosomal RNA is filed under the name uncultured bacterium. RNAcentral's name for it is "partial 16S ribosomal RNA". It matches the Rfam family "Bacterial small subunit ribosomal RNA", at positions 524 to 776 of the family's 1533-position model. The record is from RNAcentral.